GACGAACGCUGGCGGCGUGUUUAACACAUGCAAGUCGAACGGAAAGGCCCUGCUUUUGUGGGGUGCUCGAGUGGCGAACGGGUGAGUAACACGUGAGUAACCUGCCCUUGACUUUGGGAUAACUUCAGGAAACUGGGGCUAAUACCGGAUAGGAGCUCCUGCUGCAUGGUGGGGGUUGGAAAGUUUCGGCGGUUGGGGAUGGACUCGCGGCUUAUCAGCUUGUUGGUGGGGUAGUGGCUUACCAAGGCUUUGACGGGUAGCCGGCCUGAGAGGGUGACCGGCCACAAUGGGACUGAGAUAGGGACCAGACUCCUACGGGAGGCAGCAGUGGGGAGUAUUGCACAAUGGGCGGAAGCCUGAUGCAGCAACGCUGCGUGCGGGAUGACGGCCUUCGGGUUGUAAACCGCUUUCGCCUGUGACGAAGCGUGAGUGACGGUAAUGGGUAAAGAAGCACCGGCUAACUACGUG
This 468-nucleotide ribosomal RNA is filed under the name uncultured bacterium. RNAcentral describes it as "partial 16S ribosomal RNA". It matches the Rfam family "Bacterial small subunit ribosomal RNA", at positions 28 to 507 of the family's 1533-position model. The record is from RNAcentral.